This 1098-nucleotide long non-coding RNA is filed under the name Homo sapiens (human). RNAcentral's name for it is "HSALNT0346831". Lineage: Eukaryota; Metazoa; Chordata; Mammalia; Primates; Hominidae. The record is from RNAcentral.
AGAUAGAUUCUUGCUCUCUCACUGAGGCUGGAGUGCAGUGGCACAAUCUCAGCUCACUAUAACCUCCACCCACCAGGUUCAAGCGAUUCUCCUGCCUCAGCUUCCGAAGUAGCUGAGACUACAGGCACAUGCCGCCACACCCGGCUAAUUUUUGCAUUUUCAGUAGAGAUGGGGUUUCACCACGUUGGCCAGGCUGGUCUCGAACUCCUGACCUCAAGUGAUCUGCUUGUCUCAGCCUCCCAAAGUGCUGGGACUACAGGCGUGAGCCACUGUGCCUGGCCCAAUGUAUAUAUUUUUAUUUUUUUAAUUUUAUUUUUGUUUUCUUGAGACAGGGUCUUGCUCUGUCACCCAGGCUAAAGUGCAGUAGUGUGAUCACAGCUCACUGCAGCCUCGAACUCCUGGGCUCAAGUGAUCCUCCCACCUCCGUCUCUUGAGUAGCUGGGACCAUAGGCGUGUGCCACCACACCUGGCUAAUUUUUUAUUUUUUUGUAGAGAUGGGGUAUCACUAUGUUGCCCAGGCUGGUCUUGAACUCCUGGGCUCAAGCAGCCCUCCCACUUGGCCUCUCAAAGUGCUGGGAUUACAAGUGUGAGGCACUGCACCUGGCCCUCAUUAUAGUUUAGCAGUUGAUUUUAUUUGUAAAAUUUUAGUUGCAUGGAAAAGUUUAUAUAUACCUUUAUCAUAAUUCCUUGUGCUAUUUAUAAUAAUUUUUUUUCUAUUUUUAAUCCUAUCAUUUCAUCCUUAUCACUUCUGAACAAAAUGCUUUUGGACAGAAUUGCUUAUGUUUCCUCACAUGCUUAGUUUUUAGCACCUGAUUUUGAGGAUUAAAUUGUUUUCUUUGCAUGGAUAUCAACAGCAGUUGCUAAGUGUACCUGACCGGAAAGAUUUCUUUAUCCUUAUUCUCUUAAAGGUCUGUAACCUGGAUACCUCUACCAAUGAAGCAAUGAUGGCUCAUCUGAAUUUUGGAUUCCUUGAUAAAAUCAUUAUCACAACUAUUUCAAUUGUUAUUCUAAACAAUAAUGACUCAUUACCUAAGGAGACAGUAGGCUAUUCCUUGAUGGGUAAUUAUUAGUGUAGACCAAUAUUAACCAAAAAACCCC